This 28-nucleotide non-coding RNA is filed under the name Bombyx mori (domestic silkworm). The record is from RNAcentral. Lineage: Eukaryota; Metazoa; Arthropoda; Insecta; Lepidoptera; Bombycidae.
UGAGAUCAAUAAUUGUUCCGGUAUCCAC